Molecule: transfer RNA, 34 nt
Filed under: Cylindrophis ruffus (red-tailed pipe snake)
Lineage: Eukaryota; Metazoa; Chordata; Lepidosauria; Squamata; Cylindrophiidae
Description: tRNA-Met
Source: RNAcentral
CCCAUACCCCGAAAAUGUCCUACGACCUUUACUA